AUUGAACGCUGGCGGCAGGCUUAACACAUGCAAGUCGAGCGGGGUGAUGGUGCUUGCACUAUCACUUAGCGGCGGACGGGUGAGUAAUGCUUAGGAAUCUGCCUAUUAGUGGGGGACAACAUCUCGACAGGGAUGCUAAUACCGCAUACGUCCUACGGGAGAAAGCAGGGGAUCACUUGUGACCUUGCGCUAAUAGAUGAGCCUAAGUCGGAUUAGCUAGUUGGUGGGGUAAAGGCCUACCAAGGCGACGAUCUGUAGCGGGUCUGAGAGGAUGAUCCGCCACACUGGGACUGAGACACGGCCCAGACUCCUACGGGAGGCAGCAGUGGGGAAUAUUGGACAAUGGGGGGAACCCUGAUCCAGCCAUGCCGCGUGUGUGAAGAAGGCCUUAUGGUUGUAAAGCACUUUAAGCGAGGAGGAGGCUCUUUUGGUUAAUACCCAAGAUGAGUGGACGUUACCCGCAGAAUAAGCACCGGCUAACUCUGUGCCAGCCGCCGCAGUAA
RNAcentral lists this ribosomal RNA (503 nucleotides) under uncultured bacterium. RNAcentral's name for it is "partial 16S ribosomal RNA". It matches the Rfam family "Bacterial small subunit ribosomal RNA", at positions 30 to 523 of the family's 1533-position model. The record is from RNAcentral.